UACGUAGGGACCUAGCGUUGUCCGGAAUCAUUGGGCGUAAAGAGCGUGUAGGCGGCCCGAUAAGUCCGCUGUGAAAGUCCAGGGCUCAACCCUGGGAUGCCGGUGGAUACUGUCGGGCUCGAGUCCGGAAGAGGAGUGUGGAAUUCCUGGUGUAGCGGUGAAAUGCGCAGAUAUCAGGAGGAACACCAAUGGCGAAGGCAGCACUCUGGGACGUGACUGACGCUGAGACGCGAAAGCGUGGGGAGCAAACAGG
RNAcentral lists this ribosomal RNA (253 nucleotides) under uncultured bacterium. Its description in RNAcentral is "partial 16S ribosomal RNA". It matches the Rfam family "Bacterial small subunit ribosomal RNA", at positions 524 to 776 of the family's 1533-position model. The record is from RNAcentral.